GACUCUCGGCAACGGAUAUCUCGGCUCUCGCAUCGAUGAAGAACGUAGCAAAAUGCGAUACUUGGUGUGAAUUGCAGAAUCCCGUGAACCAUCGAGUCUUUGAACGCAAGUUGCGCCCGAAGCCAUCAGGCCAAGGGCACGCCUGCUUGGGCGUCGUGCAUCA
This 163-nucleotide ribosomal RNA is filed under the name Pinguicula villosa. Its description in RNAcentral is "5.8S ribosomal RNA". It matches the Rfam family "5.8S ribosomal RNA". From Rfam's summary of the family: 5.8S ribosomal RNA (5.8S rRNA) is a component of the large subunit of the eukaryotic ribosome. It is transcribed by RNA polymerase I as part of the 45S precursor that also contains 18S and 28S rRNA. The record is from RNAcentral. Lineage: Eukaryota; Viridiplantae; Streptophyta; Magnoliopsida; Lamiales; Lentibulariaceae.